UUGGUUCUGCUAACCAAACGAGGAGGGGAUCGAUCAGCUGUGAGUGAUGUUUGGUUGAGAGAUGAAAUCACCACCGUUUGCUGUGAUGUUAUGAUACGUUGUUUUUAGGGGCCCCAAUCCAUUGCAGUGAGCAGCACAGUGAAGCAGACUGACACAGAGUAGUAGGUAGCUGUUGAAGUUACUGAUCAAUCACUGUGUGAGAGUGAGAAGCUGUAAACAAACAAUAUUAACUACGAGAGCUUAAAGUAGCACUCCAGCUGUUUGCCUAAAUGCCACAAUGAAUCAAAAGGUCACAAAACCCCACGUUGAGAGGUUUUCAACGAUUGGACGCUUUGAUUUACUGUCACUCCCCAUUUCCAAUCCCACCUUUUCUUCUACAGGGUUCAGGUAAAUGUUUUAAUGAAGGAUUAGUUUUUGUUUGGGUAAAUUGCACCCAAAGUCACUAAACUAUCAGUAAAUUUAAGUUUUGAUCAUUCAGUUUUAAAAAGUUAUAAAUUAAACUAUUCAAAAGUCUUAAUUUAAGUCAUCAAACUAUUGAAAGUUUUUAUUUCACUGAGCUAUUAAGUUUUUUUUUAAAGUUCAGCUAGUUAGCUCCAAGAGACAAUUAAAUGAUCGGUACGGCGGAUUAGUACCAAUUGACGAGUAAAAGAAUAUACAUUAGAUCCAAGUCAAUAUGAUAGUCAGUGUUGAAGAUCGAAAAAAAAGUUAUUUGGAUUUUGGUUCACAAAUUCGUGACUGAUAACAUGUUAAUUUGCAUGACAUUUUGUGUUUAAUUCGGUUUAUUUCUGAAUUUAUCCCUGCUAAAUUAGUACUUUUAUGUUUUAAUCUUGUCAGGGAUGCAAUUGGGACGCUAAGAGACAAAAACGAGCAGAAAAGGACCAAAUUGAAACACAAUA
This 896-nucleotide long non-coding RNA is filed under the name Gossypium barbadense (sea-island cotton). RNAcentral's name for it is "long non-coding RNA (GBAR_LNC016853)". Lineage: Eukaryota; Viridiplantae; Streptophyta; Magnoliopsida; Malvales; Malvaceae. The record is from RNAcentral.